AUACGGAGGGUGCAAGCGUUACUCGGAAUCACUGGGCGUAAAGCGCGCGCAGGCGGUUUUUUAAGUUGGAUGUGAAAUCCUAUAGCUUAACUAUAGAACUGCAUCCAAAACUAUUAGACUAGAGUCUGGGAGAGGUAAGUGGAAUUAGUUGUGUAGGGGUAAAAUCCGUAGAGAUAACUAGGAAUACCAAAAGCGAAGGCAACUUACUGGAACAGUACUGACGCUGAGGCGCGAAAGCGUGGGGAGCAAACAGGAUUAGAAACCCCGGUAGUCC
RNAcentral lists this ribosomal RNA (274 nucleotides) under uncultured bacterium. Its description in RNAcentral is "partial 16S ribosomal RNA". It matches the Rfam family "Bacterial small subunit ribosomal RNA", at positions 523 to 796 of the family's 1533-position model. The record is from RNAcentral.